UAUAAAUUUAAUUAUUAAUUUUUUAUAUUUAAAAUAUUUUUUUAUUUAUUAUUUUAUUAGAAAAAUUUGUUUUUAUUAUAGUUUAUUAUGUAAAGUGAUUGAAUUUUAUUUAAAUUUUUAAAAGUAGAUUUUAUUUAUUGUACCUUGUGUAUCAGGGUUGAUUAAUUUAAUAUUUUUUAUUUAAUUUUCUCGAAUUAAAAAGUUCUAAUUAAUUAUAUGUUUAAUUUUUUCAAAAAUUUUCUUAAUUUUUAGUUAGUAAUGAAACGUUAUUCGUUUUUUAAUAUAUCUAGUUUUUAAAGAAAAGAAUUUAAUUCUUUUAUUAUUUAUUUAUUAAUUAAUUUUUAGUUAAUAAAUUUUAGUAUAAAAUAUAUAAGGGGAUAAGCUUUUAUUUAUAUAAUUAAAAAUAUUUUAAAUUUUUAUUUUUUGUAUAAUUUAAAUUGUUAGUCAUAUAAAUAAUUUAAUAGUUAAUUUUAUUGUAUUAAAGAUUUUUAUUUAUUUUAAUUUUUAUAUUUAAAAGAAUUGUUUAAUUUAAUAUCUUUUGUUAUUAUUAUUAAAUUAGUAGAUUAAUGUUUUAUUUAAUAUUUAAAUUUUUAGGUAAUAAAAAGGAACUCGGCAAAUAAAUUUUUCGCCUGUUUAUUAAAAACAUGUCUUUUUGAUUAUAAUUUAAGGUCUAAUCUGCUCAAUGAUUAAUUAAAUUGCCGCAGUAUCUUGACUGUGCAAAGGUAGCAUAAUAAUUAGCUUUUUUAUUGGAAGCUGGAAUGAAUGAUUGGACGAGAAAAUUUCUGUCUCUUUAUUAUUUUUAUUGAAUUUUACUUUUAAGUUAAAAGGCUUAAAUUUUUUUAAUAGACGAGAAGACCCUAUAGAGUUUAAUUUUUAAUAUUUAAUUUAUUAUUUAGAAUUUUUAAUAUUUUAUUUAGUAAAAAAUUUAGUUGGGGUGACUGAAAGAUUUAUUUAACUCUUUUAAUUAAUAUCAUUUAUUUAUGAAUAUAAAAUCUAUAUUUUUAAGUUUAAAAUAAAUUACCUUAGGGAUAACAGCGUAAUUUUUCUUUAGAGUUCUUAUUAAUAGAAAAGUUUGCGACCUCGAUGUUGGAUUAAAAUUUAUUUUAGGUGUAGAAGCUUAAAAAUUAAGUCUGUUCGACUUUUGUAAUUUUACAUGAUCUGAGUUUAAACCGGUGAGAGCCAGGUUGGUUUCUAUCUUUAAAUUUUUAAUAUAUUUUAGUACGAAAGGACCAAAUAUUUAAUAUAUUAUUUUAAUUUGAAUAUUAUU
RNAcentral lists this ribosomal RNA (1267 nucleotides) under Pristolycus sp. FM14. RNAcentral describes it as "16S ribosomal RNA". The stretch from base 1028 to 1186 matches the Rfam family "Archaeal large subunit ribosomal RNA", at positions 2544 to 2703 of the family's 2987-position model. The record is from RNAcentral. Lineage: Eukaryota; Metazoa; Arthropoda; Insecta; Coleoptera; Lampyridae.